Molecule: ribosomal RNA, 253 nt
Filed under: uncultured bacterium
Lineage: Bacteria
Description: partial 16S ribosomal RNA
Rfam family: Bacterial small subunit ribosomal RNA
Source: RNAcentral
UACGUAGGGCGCAAGCGUUGUCCGGAAUUAUUGGGCGUAAAGAGCUCGUAGGCGGCCUGUUGCGUCCGCUGUGAAAACCCGGGGCUUAACCCCGGGCGUGCAGUGGAUACGGGCAGGCUGGAGGCAGGCAGGGGAGAACGGAAUUCCCGGUGUAGCGGUGAAAUGCGCAGAUAUCGGGAGGAACACCGGUGGCGAAGGCGGUUCUCUGGGCCUGUACUGACGCUGAGGAGCGAAAGCGUGGGGAGCGAACAGG